RNAcentral lists this ribosomal RNA (90 nucleotides) under Staphylococcus haemolyticus. Lineage: Bacteria; Bacillati; Bacillota; Bacilli; Caryophanales; Staphylococcaceae. The record is from RNAcentral.
UCUGGUGACAAUGGCAAGGAGGUCACACCUGUUCCCAUGCCGAACACAGAAGUUAAGCUCCUUAGCGCCGAUGGUAGUUGGAUUUACGUU